RNAcentral lists this ribosomal RNA (390 nucleotides) under Triticum aestivum (bread wheat). Its description in RNAcentral is "partial small subunit ribosomal RNA". The record is from RNAcentral. Lineage: Eukaryota; Viridiplantae; Streptophyta; Magnoliopsida; Poales; Poaceae.
GAUGAAGAGCACUGGAAUGAAGAGCUUCUGCUCCAGUUCUAUGCCACACUGCACAUCAAAGGCUACAACAGAGAUCCGAAGACUUGGGUCCUGGAGUGGAUGACCGGCAAUGUCCAUCAUGAAGCCAAUGCAUUCGAUAUCAUUGAGCUUACCGGCCAAUCCACUCCUGGCGAACUCUUUGAAGAAGGCUGCCAACUCCAUGCUGAAGCAAUUGAGAGCAUAUUUCAGCGACCUGAGCCAAAUAUGAGUCAGAUGCUCUCAAUGAUGAAGCCAUUGCUUCCUGAUGCACCUUACCCAACCGAGUUCUUCGUUGAAGACUUAGAGUACCUGCCCAGAACUAUAUAUCACAUCGUCAGGCGGACUCUAUGGCCCAUUAAGGGGUACUCUUGA